GCGCGGUUUUGUCUCCCCGUGUCCCUCCCUGUCGCCCGGUGUCCUUAAGCGGGUCUGACUACGAAUCAGAAGGUCGCAGGUUCGAGUCCUGCCGAGCGCG
Molecule: transfer RNA, 100 nt
Filed under: Actinomycetota bacterium
Lineage: Bacteria; Bacillati; Actinomycetota
Description: tRNA-Arg
Rfam family: tRNA (bases 36-92)
About the family: Transfer RNA (tRNA) molecules are approximately 80 nucleotides in length.
Source: RNAcentral